This 668-nucleotide long non-coding RNA is filed under the name Homo sapiens (human). Its description in RNAcentral is "non-protein coding lnc-TEX9-6:2". The record is from RNAcentral. Lineage: Eukaryota; Metazoa; Chordata; Mammalia; Primates; Hominidae.
GGCUCGGGUGGGAUGAGCGCGCGCGGCGGGGACCAUGGCGUGGGGAGCGCGCGUGGCGGGGCGCGCCCUCGGUCCCUUCCCGGGAGGUGGGUGGUUGACGGGCCCGCCGGGGAGCCAGGGAGCGCCGGGAAGCGCCGGGAAGCCAAGCUGCAGUGUUCCUCAGCAACAAGUCUCGCUGAGAUCCGACCCAGAGUUCGGCCUCUGACUAGACGCCUGGGAAUCCGUGAGCUUAAUCCCCGCUUAAAUCCCAAACGGAAAAUCAUAGCGCUUUCUUGUCGGUUAAGGGUGUCAUUCCCAUAAGAAGCUGGACCUGGGGACCGCCAGGGAAAGCCUGAGCGUGGCAGCAAAUGGGGAGGCCUGGAGGGAUCGCAGCAGUCUUGGACUCGGGAUCUGAAAUUCUCUCCCUAGGAUUUGUAAACAGUGCCAGUUCCUAAGCUAUUUGUUGUCCUAUGGUCUGUCCAUCUUUAAAUCCCACCAGUAACAAUCCAAUCUCCAGGCUGACCCUCUAAACCUGCUUUAGCUGGGCGUUGAUCCGCAGCACCACCAGAAGGCAGUGACGAAGAGGGAAAAAUAAAGUGAACUAGGACCUCCUGUAGAAUAACUCCUCCUGUGGAAUAACUCCUCCUGUGGAAUAAGACUCCAGGUUCUUCGGGGACUCUUGGACUUAC